Molecule: long non-coding RNA, 714 nt
Organism: Carassius carassius (crucian carp)
Lineage: Eukaryota; Metazoa; Chordata; Actinopteri; Cypriniformes; Cyprinidae
Exons: 2
Source: RefSeq, a predicted model, not a curated record
UAUCUUAUACAGUGACAGAAGAAGUGCUUUUGGGCUAAUUAAGCUUAUACAAUAUCAUAGAAAAUAAAGUUUCACCGACUGUACUGGUCUGAAGGAUCCUACCUUAACAUUCCUAGCAUGCUCAUCAUGAGUUAAUGGGCAAACAACCUCAAUCUCAAGUAAAUUAUUGCUGAUGUACCCCGUGAAAAUGUAUUAUAUGAGCCGUAGUAGGUUAAAAAAAAAACCUUUUAAUUAAAAGGUGUGCUGUCACAAAGGAAAGGCUGGAGCUGCUGACAAAAUGACAAAAAUAACUGCAGAGCUAAUGUCUGACCAAAUACUAAUUACAUCUAAACACCAUGCAGAGCGGAUGGCUAAUUUAAUAUGAACAAAACAUGAAUGUGUCCAAUAAAUAAUGUAUUAUAAUGUCUUUACUGUAUGUCUUUGUUUGAUAAUGCUGCGUAGUUCAUACAAUACUGGUGAAGAACUGAGGGCAAAAGAAGAUUUAUUACUAAAUCAAAGUGUCUAAACUCAAGGGCAAUCAAUCGGACGGCUCCUUUGCUUUAGUGUAACUCCUGCACAUGGAUUCACUGAAAUUGAAACCUUUUUUGUUCUAUUAUUUAAACUAGUUAUUGUAUUUUGCUACAAAAUGUUUGGCUUUUAGACAUAUAUUACAGUAAUUGAUAGAAGCACCAGAUUAUAUUUUUGUAUAUUUGAAUAAAGAUUGUUUUUUAAGUA